AUGAGGAAAAAAGUGUGCAAAAGAGGGGAGGAUACCCGCCACCCCCGAUGGAGGAGAGGAAUGGGAACAAAGGCAACCCCAGGAGGAAUGCAGCCUUGUCCAAAGCUUUGACAUUGGGCAGAGAAUUGGAUGCAUCAUUCACAUAAAUCCUGGAGGGCAGGUCACCACCGGCCACUACAGGUUCUGGUUGCCAUGACUCUCAUUUUUAGUGGCACUACACUAGCAUCUGCAGGUCUCAUAUAACCCCUGCCCCAGAGAGAUCAAGAUCCCGAGAGACAAAACAUGUAGUGUGGACAGAAGAACGUGAAAUGAUCUGGUGCAAGAUCUCCAGAGGGCCAACACGGCACAGCUGUCUUGACAUCCACCUCAGCGCCACAUCUGCUAUCCUUGGCCUUCAUUGUUAACUUUCACAACACUGGUGUUUUCAAUCUAACCCAUGUUCUCCCUAGUCCCGCUGGCUUUUGGACCUUAAGGAACAUGAACUCCCUUAAUCCACUAGUAGAAACAGCCACAGAAGCAGUGCAAGUUGCCUGUGUUGAAGCACCCCUAUACAGCAUCAGGCAGAGAUACCUGAUGGUCAAAUAACCCCAGUCUAUCUCCUGCCCACUGGAGCUCCAGCACUCACCAGAGGUGCCUUAGCAUGACACUUUGCCUCUGGCAGUUAUUGCUUGAGGACUCUGUGGAAGAAUAGACAAUGCAGAAACGUCAUCAAAACUGGUAAAAGCCAAACUUUUGCCUGCAUGUAUGCAGCCCACCACAGCUGCCUCAUGAAGUAUCUGUAUCAGGGCUGACAGUUUUUUAUUGCAUGGUGGCACAUUCCUCCUAAGAAGCGCUGAUGAUCAGUAUAGACCUUUAUGAUGGAUGCUGAAGGCUUUUCUUGGCCAAGCCUAGCGAAGGUGAUGCUGCAGGAGAUGCUCCCUUAGUCAUGACAGAAAACAGCACUGUGAGGGGAGGGAAACUGAGGGCUCAGCAGCAAGGCAAGGCAGAUGAUACCCAGAUCCUUUUGUUUGCACUGGUAUAUGGAUGUUACUACUAAUACGAGGACAGAAAUUGGACACCCAGAAGGCCUGAGAGGCAAUGCAUGUCUUGUGUUGAGAAGAACCAGAGAAAGAGUAAAGAAAAGGAACUGGACAGCCACAUGAGGUAGAGGGGCAAGUGCACCCCUUCAGAUGCACUCAGCAGCCACCAGGCCCCUUGAGCAGUACUUAGGGGGUGCUGAUCCACACAACCCUGCUGCUGCAAUGCAGAGUUCUUCAAGCUUGAAAGAGAAGCAGCCAUUCACCUCUGACUUCAGGAAUCAAGGUAACGGGGCAACUUUUCUACAGCUGCAAAUAGGACCAUUUAUUUAAAGCCCCUGGAGCUACACCCUUUCAUGCUGUUAGAGUUCAGUGCAACAGUGCCUAUCGUUUGAUGACCAGGCCACGCAGAGCUCUGCACCUCUGAAGGAUCACAACUUCCAGAGCACCUGCCUCAGAGACCCUGUUCAAAGCGGAAUGUUAAAGGCACAGUUGGAAGAAUUUAUUUGUGACUGGAAGGAGACAGAUGAGGAAGCAGAAAGGAGCAAGAGUGCCAGCUGGAGAGCUGCAGGAGGGGAUGACGGGGGUGACAAUGAGCAGGGGGAAACCUUGAAGGGCUACGUAAGGAGAUGACCCGCAGCUUUUGCCUACCUUCUGCAACAGGAGAGAGCCUGAAUACUUAGUCACAACAGAGUACAGCUCCCCACUGAAGGCAUCUGCCCAAGACUUCACACUA
Molecule: long non-coding RNA, 1752 nt
Organism: Falco peregrinus (peregrine falcon)
Lineage: Eukaryota; Metazoa; Chordata; Aves; Falconiformes; Falconidae
Exons: 3
Source: RefSeq, a predicted model, not a curated record